This 1554-nucleotide long non-coding RNA is filed under the name Papio anubis (olive baboon). Its description in RNAcentral is "lncRNA (ENSPANG00000043968.1)". Lineage: Eukaryota; Metazoa; Chordata; Mammalia; Primates; Cercopithecidae. The record is from RNAcentral.
GGAGGACACAAUUUACAGAUUGUAUAGGAUUUAAACUUGUAAUGAGUAAAAGUGUCACUGCUUGAAUUUUUUCAGAGUCAGGAAGCUCAUCAUAUUCUGUAGCAGACUAUACUAUUUUUUAGACAUUUUCAAUAGUUAAAAACUCAUUUUUAUAAAGAAAACAAUUGGCCUUUUAAUGUAAUUUGAACUUUGUGUUUUUUGACUAACAUUCAAUGUUUCUAAUUGUCAUAAGGAAUUUUUCAAGUGAUUACCACUUCGUUUAUUUUCAUGUUAAAUACUCCAUUUCUUUUAACCAAAGUGGGUAGUUCAUAGAGCCCAAUUAAUUUUAAUAAUUUAUGUUAUUUAAUUUUACUAAUUUAAUUUAAUAUAAACAACUAUUAGAAUCAUCUUCUGCUAUGGUUUGAACAUAUCCUAUCUAAAAUGUAGUUGUUGCUAAUAUAAUGAUAUUAAUGUGUGGGCCCUUUAAGAGGGAUUAGACCAUGAUGACUUCUUUCACAUGAAUGGGAUUAAGGCCCUUAUAAAAGAGGCUUUACACAGUGUUUGACUUUCUUACCCUUCCACCAUCUUCCUUAUGAGGGCACAAUGUUGCUUCCCGCUGGAAGACACAGCAAUAAGGCACUAUUGUGGAAGCUCAGAAAGCAACUCAUCACCCAGCCUCACCAGCCAGCAUCUUGAUUUUGGAGAACGACAAUCUUCAAGGAAUGAGAAACUCCAGUCACACAGGGAUCUAAGGAGACAACAUGUUGAUGAAAUGCUACUGCCUUUUCCUCAAAUCAAAAUCCCAUUCAAAGGAAAAACACCCUUUUGUCAUUGAAAUACAGUGAUCAUGUGAUUUGCAGAUGUGUUAGAGUCUUUUGGCUAAAUUCUGGAAAAUUUGUAAAAACUCACUAAAUCAUACACUUGUAUAUGUAGAAAAGUUGUAAUUAUACCUUCAUAAAAUCAAUAAACUCACAUACCUCUCUCCAUGUGGUUUCUCAAAUGUGUAGUUCUCAAAUGUGUAAUUCUCAAAUGAAUUAUCAUUUGAGAAGGCAUUACAUUCAAAUUCAGACUCCCAAAGUCAUUCAGACUCCCGGAUUAUCCUGCAUAAAUGCUCAAAAUUGUUUCCCAGCUGGGCAGAGUUGAGCUCAAGACAAAAAUUAAAAAGGUUAUUACCAAAAUACUUGACCUAACUGUAUAUUGGAAUAUUUAGUCAAAUAUUGGGGUAACAAUCAAAAAAGCAUGUAUAAUUGACUUCAACAUUUGGACAAUAAAUUUUUUAAAGUGGAUAAAAAUGCAUGACAUGGAAGGAGCAGCCCAAAAGGAAGAUGCUCAGAUAAACCCACAUAGUAUAUGUAAGAUUACCUGUGUUGAAGAAAUUUUCAAGAUGGUGAUUGUGACAAUGUGGACAGACUGUGCAUUUCAUUGUCUCUAUUUUCUCUUGCUUUUUUAUUUUUAUUUUUAAGAGGUUCUUCUUUCUCUCUGGUGAAUUCUCACUUAUUCUUCACAAGAACUUAAAUUUCAUUGUAUCUAUGAAGGUCAACUCUUAUAGAAUGUUUGUCUCCUCUAGCUCCUUAG